GUCUGUCUGUCUGUCUGUCUGUCUGUCUGUCUGUCUGUAGGCCUUCUAAGCCAGUAACUAAAUGAACAGGUGUAGACUGAAAAUUAAUAUGCUCAUAUUGUAUCAUGUAAUAUUCCAUCAGUAUUUAUUUUAGUAAGUGCAUUUCAACAGCAAAAACACAAACAGUGAAUCCGGUGUGAGCCCCUUGUCCACGAGCCCAGCUGCUGCCCCUACCCGGAAACAUUACAAGGGCCGGAAAGGGCCAAUGUUAAGGGAGCACACGUCACUCACUUUUACCCUAAAAUAUUUCCAUCGACCAUCCAGUGUUUAUCUCGGCCGACAGAAUUUCAAGCGGAAGCUCCCUGGCGGAGUGACGGCUCGAAAUGAAACGUCGAAGAGGCUGACUGUUAGUCGGCGUUGAUUUCUGCACCGUUCGCCCAGCUCAGCAUCAGUGAAAAUGGCUCUGACUAACGCCUGGAAAACAACGCGCAGAAAUGGAAGCGGACCGUAGCUAGCUGAGCAGUUAGAAGAAGGCGUGACAGGCCUCAUCCAUCUGCCACCGUAUGCGUAGGACCGCAGACUUGCAAUAAAAUGAGAGGCAGACUAAUAUGCAAUAAAAUAUCUUCCUCAUCUGCCAGGGGAGCUGUCUCCCUCCAAGAAUUCGGUAAGAUGUUUUAAAGGUGAGCAGAAACGCAUUUAAAGUGAGUAAAUCUUACGCAAACAGCGCACUUUUAGCUUUAUAAAAAGAGACAUAUUGUGAUUAUUUUAAAAGUCAGUGGUGCACAUCGACUGAGUUAUGCUUACACUUGGAGCUAAUAUUCAUUUUUAUUCGAAUGCUAAUGUAUUUUAUUCGGUUUUGGUCGUUGGUUUAGAUGAUGUAAUUCGAGUUAAUUGGCCCUUCAUAAAGUGAGUCACUCUGGUUAAAAGCACUUUGUAUCUGACCGGAUGGGGCAAAAAGAUAGAGGAAUAGGUGAAAACGAGCCUUAUAAAUAGAAAUAAAAACAAAGUAAUCUACAGAAUUACUCUAGUAUGGAGUACUUGUAAAAUAACUUUUUGUACCGAUUAGUCAUCCUUUCUAUGUCACAUUGUGUAAUUACCCUCAUUAUGUCUUCAUAUCCUUCCCUUUUAAAACAUUUUCUAUAUAUUUUUUACCAUAUAUGGUCUAAUGCUCAUAGUUGGAGUAAAAUUGCCUCUGAUUGUUAACACACCAACACACAAAUAAAGGUAAGACUUCAAAAUUUUAUUUACUGUCCGGGUUAAAACAUAUUUAGUUUGAUAAAAUGGAGGGCAAAUAAUAAAUACAAUGUUUUAAAAUCUUUGCAGGGUAUUAAAAUCUUUCACUCUCCUUGAGAAUCUUCAGAAAUGUUUGUUUAUUUAUUUGGCAGACGCUUUUAUCCAAAGCGACUUACAAUUUCUAACCUAUAGGGCAUGUUGUGAUCUGUGGGGGAAACCGGAGUACCCGGAGGAAACCCACGCAUGCAUGGGAAGAACACGCAACUCCACGCAGAAACGCCGCAGCCUAGUUUCGAACCUGCAACCUUUGUGCUGCGAAGCAACAGUGCUAACCACUGCGCCACCAUGCAGCCCAGAAAUAUUUGCCUCCGCUGGAGGAACAUUUCAUCAUAAAAUAAAGGCCAG
Molecule: non-coding RNA, 1617 nt
Organism: Nothobranchius furzeri (turquoise killifish)
Lineage: Eukaryota; Metazoa; Chordata; Actinopteri; Cyprinodontiformes; Nothobranchiidae
Source: RefSeq, a predicted model, not a curated record